RNAcentral lists this ribosomal RNA (440 nucleotides) under uncultured bacterium. RNAcentral describes it as "partial 16S ribosomal RNA". It matches the Rfam family "Bacterial small subunit ribosomal RNA", at positions 338 to 795 of the family's 1533-position model. The record is from RNAcentral.
CCUACGGGUGGCAGCAGUGGGGAAUAUUGCACAAUGGCGGGAACUCUGAUCUAGCGACGCCGCGUGAGUGAAGAAGUAAUUCGGUAUGUAAAGCUCUAUCAGCAGGGAAGAAAGUGACGGUACGUGAAAAAGAAGCUCCGUCUACAUACGUGCCAGCAGCCGCGGUAAUACGUAUGGAGCCACCGUUAUCCGGAUUUACUGGGUGUAAAGGGGGAGUAGGUGGGAGAGCAAGUACGAAGGGAAAACCCAAAGCUCAACAAUGGAAAUGCUUUAGAAACUGCUCAGCUAGAGUGCAGGAGAGGCAAGUGGAAUUCUUAGUGUAGCGGUGAAAUGCGUAGAUAUUAGGAGGAACACCAGUGGCGAAGGCGGCUUGCUGGACUGUAACUGACACUGAGGCACGAAAGCGUGGGGAGCAAACAGGAUUAGAUACCCGUGUAGUC